GCAGCGACGCUUAUGCGUUGUUGGGUAGGGGAGCGUUCUGUAAGCCUGCGAAGGUGUGCUGUGAGGCAUGCUGGAGGUAUCAGAAGUGCGAAUGCUGACAUAAGUAACGAUAAAGCGGGUGAAAAGCCCGCUCGCCGGAAGACCAAGGGUUCCUGUCCAACGUUAAUCGGGGCAGGGUGAGUCGACCCCUAAGGCGAGGCCGAAAGGCGUAGUCGAUGGGAAACAGGUUAAUAUUCCUGUACUUGGUGUUACUGCGAAGGGGGGACGGAGAAGGCUAUGUUGGCCGGGCGACGGUUGUCCCGGUUUAAGCGUGUAGGCUGGUUUUCCAGGCAAAUCCGGAAAAUCAAGGCUGAGGCGUGAUGACGAGGCACUACGGUGCUGAAGCAACAAAUGCCCUGCUUCCAGGAAAAGCCUCUAAGCAUCAGGUAACAUCAAAUCGUACCCCAAACCGACACAGGUGGUCAGGUAGAGAAUACCAAGGCGCUUGAGAGAACUCGGGUGAAGGAACUAGGCAAAAUGGUGCCGUAACUUCGGGAGAAGGCACGCUGAUAUGUAGGUGAAGUCCCUCGCGGAUGGAGCUGAAAUCAGUCGAAGAUACCAGCUGGCUGCAACUGUUUAUUAAAAACACAGCACUGUGCAAACACGAAAGUGGACGUAUACGGUGUGACGCCUGCCCGGUGCCGGAAGGUUAAUUGAUGGGGUUAGCGCAAGCGAAGCUCUUGAUCGAAGCCCCGGUAAACGGCGGCCGUAACUAUAACGGUCCUAAGGUAGCGAAAUUCCUUGUCGGGUAAGUUCCGACCUGCACGAAUGGCGUAAUGAUGGCCAGGCUGUCUCCACCCGAGACUCAGUGAAAUUGAACUCGCUGUGAAGAUGCAGUGUACCCGCGGCAAGACGGAAAGACCCCGUGAACCUUUACUAUAGCUUGACACUGAACAUUGAGCCUUGAUGUGUAGGAUAGGUGGGAGGCUUUGAAGUGUGGACGCCAGUCUGCAUGGAGCCGACCUUGAAAUACCACCCUUUAAUGUUUGAUGUUCUAACGUGGACCCGUAAUCCGGGUUGCGGACAGUGUCUGGUGGGUAGUUUGACUGGGGCGGUCUCCUCCUAAAGAGUAACGGAGGAGCACGAAGGUUGGCUAAUCCUGGUCGGACAUCAGGAGGUUAGUGCAAUGGCAUAAGCCAGCUUGACUGCGAGCGUGACGGCGCGAGCAGGUGCGAAAGCAGGUCAUAGUGAUCCGGUGGUUCUGAAUGGAAGGGCCAUCGCUCAACGGAUAAAAGGUACUCCGGGGAUAACAGGCUGAUACCGCCCAAGAGUUCAUAUCGACGGCGGUGUUUGGCACCUCGAUGUCGGCUCAUCACAUCCUGGGGCUGAAGUAGGUCCCAAGGGUAUGGCUGUUCGCCAUUUAAAGUGGUACGCGAGCUGGGUUUAGAACGUCGUGAGACAGUUCGGUCCCUAUCUGCCGUGGGCGCUGGAGAAUUGAGGGGGGCUGCUCCUAGUACGAGAGGACCGGAGUGGACGCAUCACUGGUGUUCGGGUUGUCAUGCCAAUGGCACUGCCCGGUAGCUAAAUGCGGAAGAGAUAAGUGCUGAAAGCAUCUAAGCACGAAACUUGCCCCGAGAUGAGUUCUCCCUGACUCCUUGAGAGUCCUGAAGGAACGUUGAAGACGACGACGUUGAUAGGCCGGGUGUGUAAGCGCAGCGAUGCGUUGAGCUAACCGGUACUAAUGAACCGUGAG
RNAcentral lists this ribosomal RNA (1732 nucleotides) under Escherichia coli. RNAcentral's name for it is "partial 23S ribosomal RNA". It matches the Rfam family "Bacterial large subunit ribosomal RNA", at positions 1205 to 2915 of the family's 2925-position model. The record is from RNAcentral. Lineage: Bacteria; Pseudomonadati; Pseudomonadota; Gammaproteobacteria; Enterobacterales; Enterobacteriaceae.